GCAAUAAAGAACCUUUGCGUGAACCGGGCUCGCACAGCUUUGUCCAGUGCUUUAUUUUUCAUUCUGUAUAUUCCAACAGGAUGUUUAUGGAAACUUGGCUGGUUUGUGGAAGAAAGCAAAGCUCUCCUGAAGGAAUUAGGCAGGAACUCUUGCAGGUUUUUUUUUUUUUUCUUGUAGUAUUUAUGUCUGUCAAGCUACUUUAGCACACAUGGAGCUUCUUAAAACUCAUUGACAGAGGCCCGCGAGGCUGAGUCCCACACAGGUCACUCAGUAAGAAUUUUUAGUAUAUGGGUGAGUGUUCACUUAGCUUUGAGCUGAAAUAGUCUAAAAAGCAAUCGUGAGAAGUUAACAUAAAAGCAAUUAAAAAGUGCACAAGGAAGAAAAUUGCUGGGGAUGGAUCUCUUCCUGAGCUGGGGCAAAUGCUUUGGCUACUCCAGCAGCAUCACCUGAUGGAGGUGUUGCCUUUGGAUGCUGAGUGCUCGGUGUCACACAAGGCCACAUUGCCCAGGUGUGACAGCUUAAACUGAAUAAAAGUUUACUAGGCAUAAAAUAUGGUGGCCUU
Molecule: long non-coding RNA, 562 nt
Filed under: Parus major (Great Tit)
Lineage: Eukaryota; Metazoa; Chordata; Aves; Passeriformes; Paridae
Description: lncRNA (ENSPMJG00000010930.1)
Source: RNAcentral